Molecule: ribosomal RNA, 495 nt
Filed under: uncultured bacterium
Lineage: Bacteria
Description: partial 16S ribosomal RNA
Rfam family: Bacterial small subunit ribosomal RNA
Source: RNAcentral
GACGAACGCUGGCGGCGUGCCUAAUACAUGCAAGUAGAACGCUGAAGGAGGAGCUUGCUUCUCUGGAUGAGUUGCGAACGGGUGAGUAACGCGUAGGUAACCUGCCUGGUAGCGGGGGAUAACUAUUGGAAACGAUAGCUAAUACCGCAUAAUAGUAGAUGUUGCAUGACAUUUGCUUAAAAGGUGCAAUUGCAUCACUACCAGAUGGACCUGCGUUGUAUUAGCUAGUUGGUGGGGUAACGGCUCACCAAGGCGACGAUACAUAGCCGACCUGGGAGGGUGAUCGGCCACACUGGGACUGAGACACGGCCCAGACUCCUACGGGAGGCAGCAGUAGGGAAUCUUCGGCAAUGGACGGAAGUCUGACCGAGCAACGCCGCGUGAGUGAAGAAGGUUUUCGGAUCGUAAAGCUCUGUUGUAAGAGAAGAACGAGUGUGAGAGUGGAAAGUUCACACUGUGACGGUAUCUUACCAGAAAGGGACGGCUAACUACGUG